UUAGUUGAAACCAAAAAGAGGUAUAUUACUGUUAAUGAUAUAAGUGAAUUAUAACAUUCCAACUAAG
Molecule: transfer RNA, 67 nt
Filed under: Procryptotermes hesperus
Lineage: Eukaryota; Metazoa; Arthropoda; Insecta; Blattodea; Kalotermitidae
Description: tRNA-Asn
Source: RNAcentral